GCACGUUACUCAUUUGCUUUCUAGUAGCUUGGGUGUUUAUUUUUGUGAAAUUUUAGAUUGUUUAUUAAAUACUGUUUCGCAAUGAGCCCCUGUACUUUAACUUCUUUGUGAGUGUGUCACAUACACCAAGUGUUCAAAUACUGAAGUGUGUCUGUCCUAGAUAUCACACAAACAAAAAGCCACUGGCGUUCAUCCCAACCAGAUACACUAGGGGGAGCCAAACUGUGCCCACUGGUGAAUACC
This is a long non-coding RNA of Acipenser ruthenus (sterlet), 243 nucleotides long. RefSeq lists it as uncharacterized. The record is from RefSeq and is a predicted model, not a curated record. The transcript is spliced from 2 exons. NCBI's taxonomy places the organism in Eukaryota, Metazoa, Chordata, Actinopteri, Acipenseriformes, Acipenseridae.